GGGGCUGUGGCUCAGUGGUAGAGCACUAGCUUUGCAUGUGUGAGACACUGGAUUCAAUUUUCAGCAGCACCG
Molecule: transfer RNA, 72 nt
Filed under: Marmota marmota marmota (Alpine marmot)
Lineage: Eukaryota; Metazoa; Chordata; Mammalia; Rodentia; Sciuridae
Also listed under: 1 other name
Rfam family: tRNA
About the family: Transfer RNA (tRNA) molecules are approximately 80 nucleotides in length. Their secondary structure includes four short double-helical elements and three loops (D, anti-codon, and T loops). Further hydrogen bonds mediate the characteristic L-shaped molecular structure. tRNAs have two regions of fundamental functional importance: the anti-codon, which is responsible for specific mRNA codon recognition, and the 3' end, to which the tRNAs corresponding amino acid is attached (by aminoacyl-tRNA synthetases). tRNAs cope with the degeneracy of the genetic code in two manners: having more than one tRNA (with a specific anti-codon) for a particular amino acid; and 'wobble' base-pairing, i.e. permitting non-standard base-pairing at the 3rd anti-codon position.
Source: Rfam by way of RNAcentral